CGAGUAGUAGAGGAGUCAGGUUUAUCUCUCCUCAUUUGGGAUGAGGAGUGCGUAGGUUCAAACUCUGAACGAAGUGAUCACCGCAGGUAAUCCUACCUAUUCGA
RNAcentral lists this transfer RNA (104 nucleotides) under bacterium SCSIO 12643. RNAcentral describes it as "tRNA-Pro". The record is from RNAcentral.